Molecule: ribosomal RNA, 465 nt
Filed under: uncultured bacterium
Lineage: Bacteria
Description: bacterial SSU rRNA
Rfam family: Bacterial small subunit ribosomal RNA
Source: RNAcentral
CCUACGGGGUGCAGCAGUGGGGAAUAUUGGACAAUGGGGGAAACCCUGAUCCAGCAAUGCCACGUGUGUGAAGAAGGCCUGAGGGUUGUAAAGCACUUUCGUUAGGGAGGAAGUUGUGUUGUUUAAGAGAUGACACAUUUGACGUUACCUAAAAAAGAAGCACCGGCUAACUCCGUGCCAGCAGCCGCGGUAAUACGGAGGGUGCGAGCGUUAAUCGGAAUUACUGGGCGUAAAGGGCAUGUAGGCGGUUGAUUUAGUCAGAUGUGAAAGCCCCGGGCUUAACCUGGGAGGUGCAUCUGAUACUGAUUGACUAGAGUACAGUAGAGGGUAGUGGAAUUUCCGGUGUAGCGGUGAAAUGCGUAGAUAUCGGAAGGAACAUCAGUGGCGAAGGCGGCUACCUGGACUGAUACUGACGCUGAGGUGGGAAAGCGUGGGGAGCAAACAGGAUUAGAUACCCGCGUAGUC